Molecule: ribosomal RNA, 748 nt
Filed under: uncultured archaeon
Lineage: Archaea
Description: bacterial SSU rRNA
Rfam family: Archaeal small subunit ribosomal RNA
Source: RNAcentral
GAAUGCAUCGAGAUCGAAAGCUCCGGCGCCUAAGGAUGGGUCUGCGGCCUAUCAGGUAGUAGUGGGUGUAGCGUACCUACUGGCCUACGACGGGUACGGGUUGUGAGAGCAAGAGCCCGGAGAUGGAUUCUGAGACACGAAUCCAGGCCCUACGGGGUGCAGCAGGCGCGAAAACUUUACAAUGCUGGAAACAGCGAUAAGGGGACCUCGAGUGCCAGGUUACAAAUCUGGCUGUCGUGAUGCCUAAAAAGCAUUGCAUAGCAAGGGCCGGGCAAGACCGGUGCCAGCCGCCGCGGUAACACCGGCGGCUCGAGUGGUAACCGUUAUUAUUGGGUCUAAAGGGUCUGUAGCCGGCCGGAUAAGUCUCUUGGGAAAUCCAGCAGCUCAACUGUUGGGCUUUCAGGAGAUACUGUCUGGCUCGAGGCCGGGAGAGGUGAGAGGUACUUCAGGGGUAGGGGUGAAAUCUUGUAAUCCUUGAAGGACCACCAGUGGCGAAGGCGUCUCACCAGAACGGACCUGACGGCAAGGGACGAAAGCUAGGGGCACGAACCGGAUUAGAUACCCGGGUAGUCCUAGCCGUAAACGAUACUCGCUAGGUGUCGGCCACGGUGCGACCGUUGUCGGUGCCGUAGGGAAGCCGUGAAGCGAGCCACCUGGGAAGUACGGCCGCAAGGCUGAAACUUAAAGGAAUUGGCGGGGGAGCACCACAACGGGUGGAGCUUGCGGUUUAAUUGGAGUCAACGCCGGG